AUUGAACGCUGGCGGAAUGCUUUACACAUGCAAGUCGAACGGCAGCACGGACUUCGGUCUGGUGGCGAGUGGCGAACGGGUGAGUAAUGUAUCGGAACGUGCCCAGUCGUGGGGGAUAACGUAGUGAAAAUUACGCUAAUACCGCAUACGAUCUAUGGAUGAAAGCGGGGGAUCGCAAGACCUCGCGCGAUUGGAGCGGCCGAUAUCAGAUUCGGUAGUUGGUGGGGUAAAGGCCCACCAAGCCAACGAUCUGUAGCUGGUCUGAGAGGACGACCAGCCACACCGGAACGGAGACACGGUCCAGACUCCUACGGGAGGCAGCAGUGGGGAAUUUUGGACAAUGGGCGAAAGCCUGAUCCAGCCAUUCCGCGUGCAGGAUGAAGGCCCUCGGGUUGUAAACUGCUUUUGUACAGAACGAAAAGGUUUCUACUAAUACUAGGAGCUCAUGACGGUACUGUAAGAAUAAGCACCGGCUAACUACGUGCCAGCCGCCGCGGUAA
RNAcentral lists this ribosomal RNA (500 nucleotides) under uncultured bacterium. RNAcentral's name for it is "partial 16S ribosomal RNA". It matches the Rfam family "Bacterial small subunit ribosomal RNA", at positions 30 to 523 of the family's 1533-position model. The record is from RNAcentral.